Molecule: ribosomal RNA, 529 nt
Filed under: uncultured bacterium
Lineage: Bacteria
Description: bacterial SSU rRNA
Rfam family: Bacterial small subunit ribosomal RNA
Source: RNAcentral
AAUAGAUACCCGGGUAGUCCACGCCGUAAACGAUGAGUGCUAAGUGUUAGAGGGUUUCCGCCCUUUAGUGCUGCAGCUAACGCAUUAAGCACUCCGCCUGGGGAGUACGGCCGCAAGGCUGAAACUCAAAGGAAUUGACGGGGGCCCGCACAAGCGGUGGAGCAUGUGGUUUAAUUCGAAGCAACGCGAAGAACCUUACCAGGUCUUGACAUCCUCUGACACUCCUAGAGAUAGGAGGUUCCCCUUCGGGGGACAGAGUGACAGGUGGUGCAUGGUUGUCGUCAGCUCGUGUCGUGAGAUGUUGGGUUAGGUCCCGCAACGAGCGCAACCCUUGAUCUUAGUUGCCAGCAUUCAGUUGGGCACUCUAAGGUGACUGCCGGUGACAAACCGGAGGAAGGUGGGGAUGACGUCAAAUCAUCAUGCCCCUUAUGACCUGGGCUACACACGUGCUACAAUGGAUGGUACAAAGGGCAGCGAAGCCGCGAGGCUAAGCCAAUCCCAUAAAACCAUUCUCAGUUCGGAUUGCAGG